CGCUAAAGGAGAGUCUGACGGAGCACGCCGCGUGAACGAAGAAGGCCUUCGGGUCGUAAAGUUCUGUUGUUAGGGAAGAACAAGUACCAGAGUAACUGCUGGUACCUUGACGGUACCUAACCAGAAAGCCACGGCUAACUACGUGCCAGCAGCCGCGGUAAUACGUAGGUGGCAAGCGUUGUCCGGAAUUAUUGGGCGUAAAGCGCGCGCAGGUGGUUCCUUAAGUCUGAUGUGAAAGCCCACGGCUCAACCGUGGAGGGUCAUUGGAAACUGGGGAACUUGAGUGCAGAAGAGGAAAGUGGAAUUCCAAGUGUAGCGGUGAAAUGCGUAGAGAUUUGGAGGAACACCAGUGGCGAAGGCGACUUUCUGGUCUGUAACUGACACUGAGGCGCGAAAGCGUGGGGAGCAAACAGGAUUAGAUACCCUGGUAGUCCACGCCGUAAACGAUGAGUGCUAAGUGUUAGAGGGUUUCCGCCCUUUAGUGCUGCAGCUAACGCAUUAAGCACUCCGCCUGGGGAGUACGGCCGCAAGGCUGAAACUCAAAGGAAUUGACGGA
RNAcentral lists this ribosomal RNA (556 nucleotides) under Peribacillus simplex. Its description in RNAcentral is "bacterial SSU rRNA". It matches the Rfam family "Bacterial small subunit ribosomal RNA", at positions 367 to 917 of the family's 1533-position model. Lineage: Bacteria; Bacillati; Bacillota; Bacilli; Caryophanales; Bacillaceae. The record is from RNAcentral.